This 497-nucleotide ribosomal RNA is filed under the name uncultured bacterium. RNAcentral describes it as "partial 16S ribosomal RNA". It matches the Rfam family "Bacterial small subunit ribosomal RNA", at positions 28 to 507 of the family's 1533-position model. The record is from RNAcentral.
GAUGAACGCUGGCGGCGUGCCUAAUACAUGCAAGUCGAGCGAACAGACGAGGAGCUUGCUCCUCUGACGUUAGCGGCGGACGGGUGAGUAACACGUGGAUAACCUACCUAUAAGACUGGGAUAACUUCGGGAAACCGGAGCUAAUACCGGAUAAUAUAUUGAACCGCAUGGUUCAAUAGUGAAAGACGGUUUUGCUGUCACUUAUAGAUGGAUCCGCGCCGCAUUAGCUAGUUGGUAAGGUAACGGCUUACCAAGGCGACGAUGCGUAGCCGACCUGAGAGGGUGGUAGGCCACCCUGGAGCUGAGACACGGUCCUGACUCCUGCGGGAGGCAGCAGUCGGGAAUCUUCCGCAAUGGGCGAAAGCCUGACGGAGCAACGCCGCGUGAGUGAUGAAGGUCUUCGGAUCGUAAAACUCUGUUAUUAGGGAAGAACAAAUGUGUAAGUAACUAUGCACGUCUUGACGGUACCUAAUCAGAAAGCCACGGCUAACUACGUG